Hordeum vulgare subsp. vulgare (domesticated barley) is the source of this 136-nucleotide non-coding RNA. NCBI's taxonomy places the organism in Eukaryota, Viridiplantae, Streptophyta, Magnoliopsida, Poales, Poaceae. The record is from Rfam.
UUUCUACUUCCUCCGUCUUAAAAUUCUUGUCUUAGAUUUGUCUAGAAAUGAAUGUAUCUAAAUACUAAAAGGUGACUAGAUACAUUCAUAUGUUGACAAACCUAAGACAAGAAUUUUGGGACGGAGGGAGUACUAA